AGGACUAACGCUGGCGGCGUGCCUAACACAUGCAAGUCGAACGAACGUAGCAAUACGUUAGUGGCAGACGGGUGAGUAACGCGUAGUCAACCUACCUCUUAGUGGGGGAUAACUAGCCGAAAGGUUAGCUAAUACCGCAUACGAUCGUCGAGAGGCAUCUUUCAACGAUGAAAGGAGCAAUUCGCUAAGAGACGGGACUGCGUCCCAUUAGUUAGUUGGUGGGGUAAUGGCCUACCAAGACUCCUAUGGGUAGCUGGCUUGAGAGAGCGACCAGCCACACUGGAACUGAGACACGGUCCAGACUCCUACGGGAGGCAGCAGUGAGGAAUUUUCCGCAAUGGGGGAAACCCUGACGGAGCGACGCCGCGUGUGGGAAGAAGGCCUUCGGGUCGUAAACCACUGUCGAAGGGGACGAGUAUUGGACGGUACCCUUGGAGGAAGCCCCGGCUAACGUACGCGCCAGCAGCCGC
Molecule: ribosomal RNA, 470 nt
Filed under: uncultured bacterium
Lineage: Bacteria
Description: SSU rRNA
Rfam family: Bacterial small subunit ribosomal RNA
Source: RNAcentral